Molecule: ribosomal RNA, 398 nt
Filed under: uncultured Sphingobacteriales bacterium
Lineage: Bacteria; Pseudomonadati; Bacteroidota; Sphingobacteriia; Sphingobacteriales
Description: bacterial SSU rRNA
Rfam family: Bacterial small subunit ribosomal RNA
Source: RNAcentral
UGGGGAGUGACAGCCUGGUCGAAAGUAUGGUUUUCUUCGGACACUCUUCAAGGUGCUGCAUGGUUGUCGUCAGCUCGUGCCGUGAGGUGUCGGGUUAAGUCCCAUAACGAGCGCAACCCUUACCGUUAGUUACCAUCAGGUUAAGCUGGGGACUCUAGCGGGACUGCCACCGUAAGGGUGAGAGGAAGUGGGAUGACGUCAAAUCAGUCACGGCCCUUAUGUCCAGGGCUACACACGUGUUACAAUGGCCAGUACAAAGGGCAGCUACCGGGUGACCGGAUGCUAAUCUCCUAAAGCUGGUCUCAGUUCGGAUCGAAGUCUGCAACCCGACUUCGUGAAGCUGGAUUCGCUAGUAAUCGCGCAUCAGCCAUGGCGCGGUGAAUACGUUCCCGGGCCUU